This 254-nucleotide ribosomal RNA is filed under the name uncultured prokaryote. RNAcentral's name for it is "partial 16S ribosomal RNA". It matches the Rfam family "Bacterial small subunit ribosomal RNA", at positions 524 to 777 of the family's 1533-position model. The record is from RNAcentral.
UACAGAGGUGGCGAGCGUUGUUCGGAUUUACUGGGCGUAAAGGGCGCGUAGGCGGCCCCGUGUGUCGUAUGUGAAAGCCCCAGGCUCAACCUGGGAAGUGCAUGCGAAACUGCGGGGCUUGAGCAGAGGAGAGGAGAGCGGAAUUCAUGGUGUAGCGGUGAAAUGCGUUGAUAUCAUGAGGAACACCGGUGGCGAAGGCGGCUCUCUGGAAUCUUGCUGACGCUCAGGCGCGAAAGCCGGGGGAGCAAACAGGA